AACGAACGCUGGCGGCAUGCCUAACACAUGCAAGUCGAACGAGACCUUCGGGUCUAGUGGCGCACGGGUGCGUAACGCGUGGGAACCUGCCCUUAGGUUCGGAAUAACUCCCCGAAAGGGGUGCUAAUACCGGAUAAUGUCUUCGGACCAAAGAUUUAUCGCCUUUGGAUGGGCCCGCGUUGGAUUAGCUAGUUGGUAGGGUAAAAGCCUACCAAGGCGACGAUCCAUAGCUGGUCUGAGAGGAUGAUCAGCCACACUGGGACUGAGACACGGCCCAGACUCCUACGGGAGGCAGCAGUGGGGGAUAUUGGACAAUGGGCGAAAGCCUGAUCCAGCAAUGCCGCGUGAGUGAUGAAGGCCUUAGGGUUGUAAAGCUCUUUUACCCGGGACGAUAAUGACAGUACCGGGAGAAUAAGCUCCGGCUAACUCCGUG
RNAcentral lists this ribosomal RNA (433 nucleotides) under uncultured bacterium. RNAcentral describes it as "partial 16S ribosomal RNA". It matches the Rfam family "Bacterial small subunit ribosomal RNA", at positions 29 to 507 of the family's 1533-position model. The record is from RNAcentral.